Molecule: ribosomal RNA, 1496 nt
Filed under: uncultured bacterium
Lineage: Bacteria
Description: partial 16S ribosomal RNA
Rfam family: Bacterial small subunit ribosomal RNA
Source: RNAcentral
AGAGUUUGAUCCUGGCUCAGGACGAACGCUGGCGGCGCGCCUAACACAUGCAAGUCGAACGGAGAUAUCGAGGAGCUUGCUUCUUGAUGUCUUAGUGGCGAACGGGUGAGUAACACGUGAGGAACCUGCCUUUCAGAGGGGGAUAACACUUAGAAAUAGGUGCUAAUACCGCAUAAGACCACGCUGCGGCAUCGCAGAGCGGUCAAAGGAGCAAUCCGCUGAAAGAUGGACUCGCGUCUGAUUAGAUAGUUGGUGAGGUAAUGGCUCACCAAGUCGACGAUCAGUAGCCGGACUGAGAGGUUGAUCGGCCACAUUGGGACUGAGACACGGCCCAGACUCCUACGGGAGGCAGCAGUGGGGAAUAUUGGACAAUGGGCGCAAGCCUGAUCCAGCAAUGCCGCGUGGGUGAAGACGGCCUGCGGGUUGUAAAGCCCUUUGGGCGGGGAGGAACGACGGCGCGCCAACACCGUGCCGUACUGACGUUACCCGCGAAACAAGCACCGGCUAACUCCGUGCCAGCAGCCGCGGUAAUACGGAGGGUGCGAGCGUUAAUCGGAAUUACUGGGCGUAAAGCGUGCGUAGGCGGAUGGGUCAGUCAGCCGUGAAAGCCCCGGGCUCAACCUGGGAACGGCGGUUGAGACGGCCCGUCUCGAGUGGGCUAGAGGAUCGUGGAAUUCCGGGUGUAGCGGUGAAAUGCGUAGAGAUCCGGAGGAACACCGAUGGCGAAGGCAGCGGUCUGGGGCCACACUGACGCUGAGGCACGAAAGCGUGGGGAGCAAACAGGAUUAGAUACCCUGGUAGUCCACGCGGUAAACGAUGAAUACUAGGUGUAGGGGGUAUCAACUCCCCCUGUGCCGGAGCUAACGCAAUAAGUAUUCCGCCUGGGGAGUACGGCCGCAAGGUUGAAACUCAAAGGAAUUGACGGGGGCCCGCACAAGCAGCGGAGCAUGUGGUUUAAUUCGAGGCUACACGAAGAACCUUACCUAGGGUAGACAUGGUGGUAGUAGUGAACCGAAAGGGGAACGACGCUUCGGCGAGCCAUCACAGGUGCUGCAUGGUUGUCGUCAGCUCGUGCCGUGAGGUGUUCGGUUAAGUCCGAAAACGAGCGCAACCCUCGGUGUGCGUUACAAGUGUCGCACACAACUGCCCGUGAGAAACGGGAGGAAGGUGAGGAUGAUGUCAAAUCAGCAUGGCCUUUAUCUCUAGGGCUACACACACGCUACAAUGGACGGUACAGUGCGUUGCGAAGGCGCGAGCCGGAGCCAAUCGAGAAAGCCGUUCGAAGUUCGGAUUGCAGGCUGCAACCCGCCUGCAUGAAGCUGGAGUUGCUAGUAACCGCGCGUCAGCCAUAGUGCGGUGAAUACGUUCCCGGGCCUUGUACACACCGCCCGUCACGUCAUGGGAGCUAGUCACGCCUGAAAUCGGGGAGCUAACCGCAAGGAGGCACACGCUGAAGGCAGGGCUGGUGACUGGGACGAAGUCGUAACAAGGUAACC